ACACAUGCAGUCGAACGAUGAACCACUUCGGUGGGGAUUAGUGGCGAACGGGUGAGUAACACGUGGGCAAUCUGCCCUGCACUCUGGGACAAGCCCUGGAAACGGGGUCUAAUACCGGAUACUGACCCGCUUGGGCAUCCAAGCGGUUCGAAAGCUCCGGCGGUGCAGGAUGAGCCCGCGGCCUAUCAGCUUGUUGGUGAGGUAAUGGCUCACCAAGGCGACGACGGGUAGCCGGCCUGAGAGGGCGACCGGCCACACUGGGACUGAGACACGGCCCAGACUCCUACGGGAGGCAGCAGUGGGGAAUAUUGCACAAUGGGCGAAAGCCUGAUGCAGCGACGCCGCGUGAGGGAUGACGGCCUUCGGGUUGUAAACCUCUUUCAGCAGGGAAGAAGCGAAAGUGACGGUACCUGCAGAAGAAGCGCCGGCUAACUACGUGCCAGCAGCCGCGGUAAUACGUAGGGCGCGAGCGUUGUCCGGAAUUAUUGGGCGUAAAGAGCUCGUAGGCGGCUUGUCNCGUCGGUUGUGAAAGCCCGGGGCUUAACCCCGGGUCUGCAGUCGAUACGGGCAGGCUAGAGUUCGGUAGGGGAGAUCGGAAUUCCUGGUGUAGCGGUGAAAUGCGCAGAUAUCAGGAGGAACACCGGUGGCGAAGGCGGAUCUCUGGGCCGAUACUGACGCUGAGGAGCGAAAGCGUGGGGAGCGAACAGGAUUAGAUACCCUGGUAGUCCACGCCGUAAACGGUGGGCACUAGGUGUGGGCGA
This 761-nucleotide ribosomal RNA is filed under the name bacterium xpnta341lb523onp10.8dc. Its description in RNAcentral is "bacterial SSU rRNA". It matches the Rfam family "Bacterial small subunit ribosomal RNA", at positions 51 to 829 of the family's 1533-position model. The record is from RNAcentral.